GGGGAUUCUAUUUCCUUACUUAAUUGGGUUUUAAUUGGGAGUUCUUUUUAUUCAAUUGGGUUUUGGGAAUUCCUUAAUUAAGUAGAAUUGGGAAUCCUCUUUAUAAAAGACCAAUAACAUCACCCAAUUUCAUCAAAGUGUGUGUGCAUCACAAGAAUCCUGCGUAUUUGUUUUUCCUUCUUGAGUACGUCAAUCCAAAGUAAGUCGAAUGCAUUUUUUUUUUUUCUUGAGCAAACUCCAAUUUUAUUUAAUCUUUUUUUAAUAAUUUUUUUUUUCUUAUUUAGCUCUCUCUGUAUUAGUAAGAUCAGUAGCAAACUGGAGGAGGAAGAGGCUACGUGACAUGUUAUUCGAGGUAUAAUUAAUUUUUAUUUGUUUAUUUAAUUGAUAAUUUGAUAUUGAUUUAUUUAUUUAAUUGAUAAAUUAUAGUCGAAGUGCUCCCUCUCUUAGCCUUUGCCACCUUUCUCCCAAUAGGUCUCGGCACACGUGGGAGUGGUGAGUCUUGAUCCAUUGGGGAGUCCAAUGGUGAAUCGGUUGCCGGCAAAUCGUGGAGCAGCGUCUCAUUCAACACAACCGGCCGACCACUGAAAAUAAUUUUGAAUCUCGAACAAUUCUUCACAACUUCCCAAUACUGGUGACUUAGGAAACUUUUUU
Molecule: long non-coding RNA, 651 nt
Filed under: Prunus persica (peach)
Lineage: Eukaryota; Viridiplantae; Streptophyta; Magnoliopsida; Rosales; Rosaceae
Description: long non-coding RNA (PPER_LNC007862)
Source: RNAcentral